RNAcentral lists this ribosomal RNA (202 nucleotides) under uncultured bacterium. Its description in RNAcentral is "partial 16S ribosomal RNA". It matches the Rfam family "Bacterial small subunit ribosomal RNA", at positions 28 to 211 of the family's 1533-position model. The record is from RNAcentral.
GACGAACGCUGGCGGCGUGCUUAACACAUGCAAGUCGAGCGGUAAGGCCCUUUCGGGGGUACGACGAGCGGCGAACGGGUAGGAGUAACAACGUGGGUGGACCUCGCCCUCCAGCUCCUGGGAGUAAGACCUCGGGAAACCGGGGUACCGUAAUAACUGGAGUAUGACUCCAUGACGCAUGUUGUGGGGUGGGAAAGACCUU